AGCUCAGUGGUAAGAGCAUGUGCUUAAUACGUACAAGGCCCUGGGCUCAAUCCCCAG
Molecule: transfer RNA, 57 nt
Filed under: Ictidomys tridecemlineatus (thirteen-lined ground squirrel)
Lineage: Eukaryota; Metazoa; Chordata; Mammalia; Rodentia; Sciuridae
Description: Spermophilus tridecemlineatus (thirteen-lined ground squirrel) tRNA
Rfam family: tRNA
About the family: Transfer RNA (tRNA) molecules are approximately 80 nucleotides in length. Their secondary structure includes four short double-helical elements and three loops (D, anti-codon, and T loops).
Source: Rfam by way of RNAcentral